Molecule: non-coding RNA, 75 nt
Organism: Arvicanthis niloticus (Nile rat)
Lineage: Eukaryota; Metazoa; Chordata; Mammalia; Rodentia; Muridae
Source: RefSeq, a predicted model, not a curated record
CCCAUUGGCUCCUCAGCCAAGCACAUGCACCAAAUGUCUGAACCUGCGGUUCCUCUCGUCGCGAGACAGGGGAGG